Long non-coding RNA from Oreochromis niloticus (Nile tilapia), 2026 nucleotides. The record is from Ensembl. Lineage: Eukaryota; Metazoa; Chordata; Actinopteri; Cichliformes; Cichlidae.
AUGCAUUUGAUACAAAGCAGAAAACAUGAGAGGAAGAUGGCACGCAGCAAAGGUUGUGAGCGGAAUAAAAAAAAUCCCCGACAUCAGCUGCAAAUGGUACAUGUGUCUGCUGAAUCCACCACUUCACCUUUGGGAGUGAAAGAAUUGCAGGAUGUGCGCUGGCAGAACCCCCCGUCUGACACCACUACAGUUGGUCCCCUCUGGAUAUCCUCUGCACCCCCCCUGCUCUCCUGUUCCACAACCUGCCUUCCCUCCUCCCUCCUUUCUUCCACAAGGAUGGAGGCCUGAGACAGCUCCGGUUUAAAAGAGACAAGCAGGCAGGAGGUUCUGGAUAUACCGUCCCCAGGCAACAGGAAUAUUCUGAGGUGAUUGCGUCUGUGUGUGUUGUAAUGUUAAGAGAGAAAAAAAGAUGGGUGGCGGGGUUCCACACACACACACACAAAGAAUAGAAAAGGGUCAAACCCACUAAAACUUCUUGGGGCUCCAAACAGCACAUCUGUGCAAAAGUGAACUGAAAAUUUACCAUGAAGACUGUUUCUUUCUUUCCCCCUGUUCCAGGUUUCUCCUGUGCUUCAACACACCCCCAUUUCAUUUCCUCACAGCCCUGCCUCCCCCCCUCCAAAAUCCAACCUCCCCCUCCCUCAAGACAACCUCUCUCCCCACCCCGUCCCCUCCCUCUGUGCCUCUCUGUGGCAGAUGGGCACUGUGUGUGACAGCAGGGUCAUCGGGUCACAUCCACAUGGGGUAGGGGUCUCCUUUGUGUGUGUGUGUGUAAUUUGACCUUUCGUGUACACACAUGUAUUUGUUGGUGUGUGUGUGUGUGUGUAUGUGUGCAUGCUAAGGUGUACUUUAAUGUGCGUUUGUUGUAUUUUUCCGUGGGUGUGUUGUUUAGUAUUUUUGCAUGUGUCACUGUAGAUGCAGUGCAGUUGUGCAUGUGUGUGUCUGUGUGUUAAGGUAUCAGACACAGUCACAUAAACCCUGAAACUGUUGUAACCUUAAGCAUCCCCUUUUACCCUCACCACACACACACACACACACACACUCACCCGCUGUGCCUCCAGUCUCAGAAAUGAUAUGCGUGACUGUGUCUGUGUGGCACGGUCACGCAUGUGUGUCUUAGCAUGUGUGUGUGCGCGUUUGUGUGUGUGUGCAUGGGUGAAAAUACACACAGUCUGCAUAGAUGAGAGUAUUUACAUGCAAAAGGGUGUGAGACAGAGUGUUUGUGUGUGUGUGUGAGUGUGAGUAAGUGCCAUUGUGUGUGAAACAGAAGCCUGAGGGCAUGCUCAUCAGCAGAGAGACAUAGAUUUGCAUAAUGAAAUUCCCUCUAUCGCGCUGCCGCAGAGGACAAAAUAAAACAAGACCCUUAACAAACCCUUUAAACACUUAGGUGAAUACAACAAAAGUACACACACAUACACACACUCACUUAACUUUCGGUCUCCGAUUGGACCUCGAGCCUGGCGAGGAGCUUUGGGACUCUGUUACUAUAGGUACACUUGAUGGAUGUGUUUCCCUUCCUCUGUAGCACUGCGUCUGUACGGCUUUCAUAAAGAGCAUGAGCGUGUUUCACUCUUUCAGAGCUCAAACAGGCAAGUAAAAUCAGCCGCUCGCCCAGUUGUUCGGUGCUAGGUCGGUCGACGUGGCCCAGUCAUGUCUGCUGAUCUGUGUGCACGUGAGUGAGAGACAGUCUGCGCUUUGGUGCGCCACAGCGGCAACAGCGUAUCUGUCAGGCGAGGUACUAAAGGCAACCCGGGGCUUUCACAUGUGCAUGCCGGGUAGACAGGAAAUCUGCCAUCAUCACUGCUCUCUGGCUGCCUGUCUGAAUGUAAUGUGGUACAUGCUUCAGGUGCAAGGGGGAUCGAACUGGGGCGGAGCAGUGUGUGGUGGGGGUUAACUGGUUGAUAGAGGAGAGGAGGUACAGGAGGAGGUGAAAGAGAAGGAGAAAGAGAUCAGUUUUGUUGGACACGCAUCAUUUUUCCUCCAAAGGACACUGGCAGCUGUUGUGUGUAAUUGGGGGUGGCUGCUG